UCGAUGGUAGUGUAUUGGACUGCCAUGGCUUUAACGGGUAACGGAGAAUUAGGGUUCGAUUCCGGAGAGGGAGCCUGAGAAACGGCUACCACAUCUAAGGAAGGCAGCAGGCGCGUAAAUUACCCAAUCCUGAUUCAGGGAGGUAGUGACAAGAAAUAACAACGUAGGGCUUCAUUGUCUUGCGAUUGUAAUGGGUACAAUUUAAAACCCUUAACGAGUAACAAUUGGAGGGCAAGUCUGGUGCCAGCAGCCGCGGUAAUUCCAGCUCCAAUAGCGUAUAUUAAAGUUGUUGCAGUUAAAAAGCUCGUAGUUGGAUUUCUGAAGAAGUUUGUUGCGGGCCCUAUGGGUGCGCGAUUAAAGGUUCUUCAUCCUUCUGUUAACGAUUGGUGGCAUUGAGUUGCUGGUUUCGGGCACAGAUAUUUUACUUUGAGAAAAUUAGAGUGUUUCAGGCAGGCUUGUUGCCUAAAUAUAUUAGCAUGGAAUAAUAGAAUAGGACUUUGACUCUAUUUGUUGGUUUAGAGUAUAAAGUAAUGAUUAAUAGGGACAGUUGGGGGCAUUAGUAUUUAAUUGUCAGAGGUGAAAUUCUUGGAUUUAUUAAAGACUAACUUAUGCGAAAGCAUUUGCCAAGGAUGUUUUCAUUAAUCAAGAACGAAAGUUAGGGGAUCAAAGACGAUCAGAUACCGUCCUAGUCUUAACUAUAAACUAUGCCGACUAGGGAUUGGAGGAGCAACCAAUACUCCUUCAGCACCUUACGAGAAAUCAAAGUCUUUAGGUUCUGGGGGGAGUAUGGUCGCAAGGCUGAAACUUAAAGAGAUUGACGGAAGGGCACACCAGGAGUGGAUUUUGCGGCUUAAUUUGACCCAACACGGGAAAACUUACCAGGUCCAAACAUUGGAAGGAUUGACAGAUUGAUAGCUCUUUCUUGAUUCGAUGAUUGGUGGUGCAUGGCCGUUCUUAGUUGGUGGAGUGAUUUGUCUGGUUAAUUCCGUUAACGAACGAGACCUUAACCUGCUAAAUAGUAUUGUUGGCCCCGGCCUUCAAAUACUUCUUAGAGGGACUUUGUGUGCAAACACAAGGAAGUUUCAGGCAAUAACAGGUCUGUGAUGCCCUUAGAUGUCCUGGGCCGCACGCGUAAUACACUGAUGCAGUUAACAAGUCUCCUGCUCCGAAAGGUAGUAGGCAAUCUCUAAUCUGCAUCGUGAUGGGGAUAGAUCUUUGUAAUUAUAGAUCUUGAACGAGGAAUUCCUAGUAAGCGUAAGUCAUUAGCUUACGCUGAUUAAGUCCCUGCCCUUUGUACACACCGCCCGUCGCUCCUACCGAUUUCGAGUGAUCCGGUGAACAUUUUGGACUGACCAGGCAACUGGUUAGGAAAUCAAGUAAACCUUAUCACUUAGAGGAAGGAGAAGUCGUAACAAGGUU
RNAcentral lists this ribosomal RNA (1419 nucleotides) under metagenome. Its description in RNAcentral is "SSU rRNA". It matches the Rfam family "Eukaryotic small subunit ribosomal RNA", at positions 322 to 1801 of the family's 1831-position model. The record is from RNAcentral.